RNAcentral lists this ribosomal RNA (172 nucleotides) under uncultured bacterium. Its description in RNAcentral is "partial 16S ribosomal RNA". It matches the Rfam family "Bacterial small subunit ribosomal RNA", at positions 340 to 524 of the family's 1533-position model. RNAcentral also lists the same sequence under 1 other name. The record is from RNAcentral.
UACGGGAGGCAGCAGUGGGGAAUAUUGCACAAUGGGCGGAAGCCUGAUGCAGCAACGCCGCGUGCGGGAUGACGGCCUUCGGGUUGUAAACCGCUUUCGCCUGUGACGAAGCGUGAGUGACGGUAAUGGGUAAAGAAGCACCGGCUAACUACGUGCCAGCAGCCGCGGUAAU